Molecule: small RNA, 114 nt
Filed under: Erwinia sp. 198
Lineage: Bacteria; Pseudomonadati; Pseudomonadota; Gammaproteobacteria; Enterobacterales; Erwiniaceae
Description: RtT sRNA
Rfam family: RtT RNA
About the family: This family represents a bacterial cis-regulatory element known as RtT RNA. The exact function of RtT is unknown although it is thought that it may be involved in changing the cellular response in relation to amino acid starvation.
Source: RNAcentral
UGUCUCUGUGAUUUCCAGAGGAUGAGAACCUCCGAAGGAGGUUUGCGCCGAGCGCAGCGAGACAACGUUGCUUCAGCAACGGCCCGCAGGGGAAUCAUCCUCUCUCGCCGACCA